AACAGGAUUAGAUACCCUGGUAGUCCACACUGUAAACGAUGAUAACUCGCUGUCGGCGAUACACAGUCGGUGGCCAAGCGAAAGCAUUAAGUUAUCCACCUGGGGAGUACGACCGCAAGGUUGAAACUCAAAGGAAUUGACGGGGGCCCGCACAAGCGGAGGAACGUGUGGUUUAAUUCGAUGAUACGCGAGGAACCUUACCCGGGCUCGAACGGUGCAUGAAUAUACGAGAGAUUGUAUAGUCCUUCGGGACAUGUAUCGAGGUGCUGCAUGGUUGUCGUCAGCUCGUGCCGUGAGGUGUCGGCUUAAGUGCCAUAACGAGCGCAACCCUUGUCAUUAGUUGCCAUCAGGUCAAGCUGGGGACUUUAAUGAGACUGCCACCGUAAGGUGUGAGGAAGGGGGGGAUGACGUCAAAUCAGCACGGCCCUUAUGUCCGGGGCGACACACGUGUUACAAUGGGAGGUACAGAGGGCAGCUAUCCGGUGACGGAAUGCUAAUCUCCAAAACCUUUCUCAGUUCGGAUUGGAGUCUGCAACUCGACUCCAUGAAGGUGGAUUCGCUAGUAAUCGCGCAUCAGCCAUGGCGCGGUGAAUACGUUCCCGGGCCUUGUACACACCGCCCGUCAAGCCAUGGAAGCUUGGGGUGCCUGAAGUUCGUGACCGCAAGGAGCGACCUAAGGCAAAACAGGUAACUGGGGCUAAGUCGUAACAAGGUAACC
This 718-nucleotide ribosomal RNA is filed under the name uncultured bacterium. Its description in RNAcentral is "bacterial SSU rRNA". It matches the Rfam family "Bacterial small subunit ribosomal RNA", at positions 771 to 1501 of the family's 1533-position model. The record is from RNAcentral.